GUGAGGAAUUUUCCGCAAUGGGCGAAAGCCUGACGGAGCAAUGCCGCGUGAAGGAUGAAGGCCUAUGGGUUGUAAACUUCUUUUCUUAGAGAAGAAUAUUGACGGUAUCUGAGGAAUAAGCACCGGCUAACUCCGUGCCAGCAGCCGCGGUAAUACGGAGGGUGCAAGCGUUAUCCGGAUUCACUGGGUUUAAAGGGUUCGUAGGCGGAUAAAUAAGUCAGUGGUGAAAUCAACUGGCUCAACCUGUUAACUGCCAUUGAUACUGUGUAUCUUGAAUAUGAGAGAGGUAGGCGGAAUGUUGCAUGUAGCGGUGAAAUGCUUAGAUAUGCUACGGAACACCGAUUGCGAAGGCAGCUUACUAUUUCGUAAUUGACGCUGAGGCACGAAAGCGUGGGUAGCGAACAGGAUUAGAAACCCUGGUAGUCC
Molecule: ribosomal RNA, 426 nt
Filed under: uncultured bacterium
Lineage: Bacteria
Description: partial 16S ribosomal RNA
Rfam family: Bacterial small subunit ribosomal RNA
Source: RNAcentral